UUGAACGCUGGCGGCAUGCCUAACACAUGCAAGUCGAACGCCCCGCAAGGGGAGUGGCGGACGGGUGAGUAACGCGUGGGAACCUGCACUUCAGUGGGGGAUAACGACGGGAAACUGUCGCUAAUACCGCAUACGCCCUACGGGGGAAAGAUUUAUCGCUGAAGGAUGGGCCCGCGUCGGAUUAGCUAGUUGGUGAGGUAACGGCUCACCAAGGCGACGAUCCGUAGCUGGUCUAAGAGGAUGAUCAGCCACACUGGGACUGAGACACGGCCCAGACUCCUACGGGAGGCAGCAGUGGGGAAUAUUGGACAAUGGGCGCAAGCCUGAUCCAGCCAUGCCGCGUGGAUGAUGAAGGCCUUAGGGUUGUAAAGUCCUUUUAACGGGGAAGAUAAUGACGGUACCCGUAGAAUAAGCCCCGGCUAACUUCGU
RNAcentral lists this ribosomal RNA (429 nucleotides) under uncultured bacterium. RNAcentral describes it as "bacterial SSU rRNA". It matches the Rfam family "Bacterial small subunit ribosomal RNA", at positions 30 to 506 of the family's 1533-position model. The record is from RNAcentral.